ACACUCCUGCGGGAGGCAGCAGUGGGGAAUUUUGGACAAUGGGCGAAAGCCUGAUCCAGCAAUGCCGCGUGUGUGAAGAAGGCCUUCGGGUUGUAAAGCACUUUUGUCCGGAAAGAAAUCCUUGGCUCUAAUACAGUCGGGGGAUGACGGUACCGGAAGAAUAAGCACCGGCUAACUACGUGCCAGCAGCCGCGGUAAUACGUAGGGUGCGAGCGUUAAUCGGAAUUACUGGGCGUAAAGCGUGCGCAGGCGGUUUGCUAAGACCGAUGUGAAAUCCCCGGGCUCAACCUGGGAACUGCAUUGGUGACUGGCAGGCUAGAGUAUGGCAGAGGGGGGUAGAAUUCCACGUGUAGCAGUGAAAUGCGUAGAGAUGUGGAGGAAUACCGAUGGCGAAGGCAGCCCCCUGGGCCAAUACUGACGCUCAUGCACGAAAGCGUGGGGAGCAAACAGGAUUAGAUACCCUGGUAGUCCCAUG
Molecule: ribosomal RNA, 475 nt
Filed under: uncultured organism
Description: partial 16S ribosomal RNA
Rfam family: Bacterial small subunit ribosomal RNA
Source: RNAcentral